Molecule: long non-coding RNA, 265 nt
Filed under: Malus domestica (apple)
Lineage: Eukaryota; Viridiplantae; Streptophyta; Magnoliopsida; Rosales; Rosaceae
Description: long non-coding RNA (MDOM_LNC003730)
Source: RNAcentral
CCAAGAGCCUACUAUUCUUUACCAAAGAAUUUUUCCAUCUGUACGACCCAGGCUGCCCAGUUUGCGUUGGUCGAAGGCCAGGCUCCUUGAGGCCUUAAUAGGCACCAUUUUGACCAAUCAAAUCCUUGCAGCAAAUGUGCCAGGCAGUGUUCUUUGAAGAGGUUGGUGAUGGACGAUGGCACUGCAUCUUUAAAUAGUGGUCCCAGGAUUUGAUGAGUAUUGUUUACAUCACUCUCGAAUAGCAUAGUCUUGACAGCGCUCCAAU